GCCCCUGAGCAUCCUUGAGCCACUGGAUCUUGGCGCCGGACAUGGCGAGCUGCGUGAAGAGUUUGUCCGCCUCGGUACGGGUGAUGCCCUCAGGGAGAUCUGUCACCUCCAGCACCCGCCCCAGGACUGGAAGGGGAGGAGAGAGGAUAUGGUUGUGAGACGAGUAGGACAGGAAAGACUGGACAGCAGCCCGGCAGAGAAGUGUCCAGCUGACCAAAUCUGUAUACAAUGUUUUCAAAAGUCUGGCCUUUCUCUCUUAGCCCUUUCUUCCCCUUCCCACCAUCCCAGCUCUGAUCAGGGCAACUAGGAGAAAAACAAAUGAACCUUUUUCUCCUAGCCCAGAGAUGUAGGCAAGAAGGGACUAGGAAUCAGAAUCCCGGGUUUCUGAGCUGAGAACCUAUACCUCAGUUCUCUCAUAAGGUGCUAUUGCUAUGAAGAAAAUGUGGCUUUUGCUAAUGUUCUUUAACAAUAAUGUAUCAAUCUGAAAUAUGUUCCAUAGUUCCCUUCCCACUCAGAGGCUGGCUCAAAUAGAUUCUUCCUUCUUAUCAUCUCAGGAAGUCAGUUUCCCUUCCUUUCCUUGUUUAGGAAAUUGCUCCAAAUCCCAAGACAGAUCUUGUUCACCUAGUGGGAGGCUUGCAGGAUGAGCGUUCCUCCCCCAUAUUCUCUACCAAUCUUCUCCUAAACUGGGUCUAGGACUACCAAAGGUAGAUGUUGUAGAUUAGGGACAGGACACUAAUUAGAAAACUCUUUGUUAAUAAGAGGCAACUCCCAUAAUUGUGUUAUUCCCACUUUUUACCAUGAUCUUCCUCACAAUCUGAGAUGGCUUGGUAAGGAGGACUGAGAUACUUCACUUCUCCAAUUUCUGCUUGCUUUUGAGCACAAAGGGUCCCACUUCCACUCCCCAUCCUAAGCUGGCUUUUCCCACUCAUGCUGGACUGGUAAUUAAGGGCUGGAAGGGUGGGCACCUUCUCUUGGGGAUUCAGCAUCCUGUGACUCACCGACAUCUGCUGUCCCCAGGUCAGUGGAGGCAGAUUUGAGUGCUUGUCUCUUGCCCCGGUUUCCAUGCUUCAAUCCACUCUGUCCCUUCAACAUUUGAAAGACGACUCUCAUCCCAUGUAAACAACAUUGACUUGCAUCACAAUGUCUGCCUGAGAGAUUGUGGAGUAGCACCAACCCAGAGGACCCCACCCCACCAGGCAGUCAGGUUGGCCAUGGAGCAGCGACUCAGAAACAAAGAGCCCCUCCCUCUUGGCAUGGGGGUCGGGUGGGAGACAUGAGUACAGGAGCUAGCCCUGAGUGGGAAAGCAGCAAACAAAUCCACCCAUUGCCUCAGGGUCACUCAAGCUACAUCUUGCCAGGAACCUGAGAUGGCUGCUGAUGUGGCUUCUGACUCCAUCUUCUCAAACCAGUAGAAGUUUGAGGGGAAGGGAUAUGAGCCCCAGAUGCCAGUGUUCCCCUGGCCUUCACCUGAUGAGGGGUACUUUGGUAUGCUUGGCAGAAAACUACUCCAUUCUGUCAAUACUGGCUAUAACCAAAUGCCCAGGAGUAGGAUAUCUUCACUAAAUGGAAGACAAAAGAGCAGUCUCAGCUUUGGAAACCCCUCAGCUAAACAAUGAGCCAGUAAAUAUGUGAGAGGCUA
Macaca mulatta (Rhesus monkey) is the source of this 1639-nucleotide non-coding RNA. NCBI's taxonomy places the organism in Eukaryota, Metazoa, Chordata, Mammalia, Primates, Cercopithecidae. The record is from RefSeq and is a predicted model, not a curated record.